GACGAACGCUGGCGGCGUGCUUAACACAUGCAAGUCGAACGGAAAGGCCCCUUUGGGGGUCUUCGAGUGGCGAACGGGUGAGUAUCACGUGAGUAACCUGCCCUUGCCUUCGGGAUAACUUCAGGAAACUGGGGCUAAUACCGGAUAGGAAUCCUUGCUGCAUGGUGGGGGUUGUAAAGCUUCGGCGGUUUUGGAUGUACUCGCGGCUUAUCAGCUUGGUGGUGGGGGAGUGGAUUACCAAGGCUUUGACGGGUAGCCGGCCUGAGAGGGCGACCGGCCACAUGGGGACUGAGAGACGGCCCAGACGCCUACGGGAGGCAGCAGUGGGGAAGAUUGCACAAUGGGCGGAAGCCGGAUGCAGCAACGCCGCGUGCGGGAUGACGGCCUUCGGGUGGUAAACCGCUUUCAGCAGGGGCGAAGCUUGUGGUGACGGUACCUGCAGAGGAAGCACCGGCUAACUACGUG
This 465-nucleotide ribosomal RNA is filed under the name uncultured bacterium. Its description in RNAcentral is "partial 16S ribosomal RNA". It matches the Rfam family "Bacterial small subunit ribosomal RNA", at positions 28 to 507 of the family's 1533-position model. The record is from RNAcentral.